This 254-nucleotide ribosomal RNA is filed under the name uncultured bacterium. RNAcentral's name for it is "partial 16S ribosomal RNA". It matches the Rfam family "Bacterial small subunit ribosomal RNA", at positions 524 to 777 of the family's 1533-position model. The record is from RNAcentral.
UACGUAGGGUGCAAGCGUUAAUCGGAAUUACUGGGCGUAAAGCGUGCGCAGGCGGUUAUGUAAGACAGUUGUGAAAUCCCCGGGCUCAACCUGGGAACUGCAUCUGUGACUGCAUAGCUAGAGUACGGUAGAGGGGGAUGGAAUUCCGCGUGUAGCAGUGAAAUGCGUAGAUAUGCGGAGGAACACCGAUGGCGAAGGCAAUCCCCUGGACCUGUACUGACGCUCAUGCACGAAAGCGUGGGGAGCAAACGAGG